This 492-nucleotide ribosomal RNA is filed under the name uncultured bacterium. Its description in RNAcentral is "partial 16S ribosomal RNA". It matches the Rfam family "Bacterial small subunit ribosomal RNA", at positions 29 to 507 of the family's 1533-position model. The record is from RNAcentral.
AGUGAACGCUGGCGGUAGGCCUAACACAUGCAAGUCGAACGGCAGCACAGUAAGAGCUUGCUCUAACGGGUGGCGAGUGGCGGACGGGUGAGGAAUACAACGGAAUCUACUUUUUCGUGGGGAAAAAAGUAGGGAAACAUACGCUAAUACCGCAUACGACCAACGGGUGAAAGCAGGGGAGAUUAGGACCUUGCGCGACAGAAAGAGCAGAUGUCGGAUUAGCUAGUUGGCGGGGUAAAGGCCCACCAAGGCGACGAUCCGUAGCUGGUCUGAGAGAAUGAUCGCCCACAUUGGAACUGGAACACGGUCCAGACUCCUACGGGAGCCACCAUUGGGGAUUUUUCGACAAUGGCCGCAAGCCUGAUCCAGCCCUCCCCCGGGGGUGUGGAAGGCCUUCGGUUUUUAAAGCCCUUUUGUUGGGAAAGAAAAGCUUCUGGUUAAUACCCCGCUGUUCUGACGGUACCCAAAGAAUAAGCACCGGCUAACUUCGUG